CCUACGGGAGGCAGCAGUGGGGAAUUUUGGACAAUGGGCGCAAGCCUGAUCCAGCAAUGCCGCGUGAGUGAAGAAGGCCUUCGGGUUGUAAAGCUCUUUUGUCAGGGAAGAAACGGUGGGGGCUAAUAUCCUCCACUAAUGACGGUACCUGAAGAAUAAGCACCGGCUAACUACGUGCCAGCAGCCGCGGUAAUACGUAGGGUGCAAGCGUUAAUCGGAAUUACUGGGCGUAAAGCGUGCGCAGGCGGUUUUGUAAGUUUGUCGUGAAAUCCCCGGGCUCAACCUGGGAAUGGCGAUGAAGACUGCAAGGCUAGAAUCUGGCAGAGGGGGGUAGAAUUCCACGUGUAGCAGUGAAAUGCGUAGAGAUGUGGAGGAACACCGAUGGCGAAGGCAGCCCCCUGGGUCAAGAUUGACGCUCAUGCACGAAAGCGUGGGGAGCAAACAGGAUUAGAUACCCUGGUAGUCCACGCCCUAAACGAUGUCUACUAGUUGUCGGGUUUUAAUUAACUUGGUAACGCAGCUAACGCGUGAAGUAGACCGCCUGGGGAGUACGGUCGCAAGAUUAAAACCGUUAAAGGAAUUGACGG
Molecule: ribosomal RNA, 587 nt
Filed under: uncultured bacterium
Lineage: Bacteria
Description: bacterial SSU rRNA
Rfam family: Bacterial small subunit ribosomal RNA
Source: RNAcentral